CCAGCAAUGGGAAGACGUGAUGCGGAGUGAAAAAUAGUAACGAAGUCCGUGAGCUGUGCGUCAAGAAAAGCCGCUAUUGUUCAUACCAUACCCGUACCGUAAACCGACACAGGUGGAUGAGGAGAGAAUCCUAAGGCCGGCGGAAGAAGCAUUGUCAAGGAACUCGGCAAAAUGACCCCGUAACUUCGGGAGAAGGGGUGCCACUGAAAAGUGGCCGCAGAGAAUAGGCUCAAGCAACUGUUUAGCAAAAACACAGGUCUAUGCGAAACCGUAAGGUGAGGUAUAUGGGCUGACGCCUGCCCGGUGCUGGAAGGUUAAGAGGAGAGGUUAGCGCAAGCGAAGCUUUGAAUUUAAGCCCCAGUAAACGGCGGCCGUAACAAUAACGGUCCUAAGGUAGCGAAAUUCCUUGUCGGGUAAGUUCCGACCCGCACGAAAGGCGUAAUGAUUUGAGCGCUGUCUCGACAAUGCAUCCGGUGAAAUUGAAGUACCAGUGAAGAUGCUGGUUACCUGCGCCAGGACGGAAAGACCCCAUGGAGCUUUACUCCAGUUUGGUACUGGGAUCCGGUACUGCAUGUACAGGAUAGGUGGGAGGCUGUGAAAUAGUAACGCCAGUUAUUAUGGAGCCGCUGUUGGGAUACCACCCUUGCAGUAUUGGGUUUCUAACCAGCCGCCGUGACCCGGCGGUGGGACAAUGCCAGACGGGGAGUUUGACUGGGGCGGUCGCCUCCGAAAGGGUAUCGGAGGCGCCCAAAGGUUCCCUCAGAAUGGACGGAAACCAUUCGAAGAGUGCAAAGGCAGAAGGGAGCUUGACUGCGACACCGACGGGUGGAGCAGGUACGAAAGUAGGGCUUAGUGAUCCGGUGGUAUUAAGUGGGAAUGCCAUCGCUCAACGGAUAAAAGCUACCCUGGGAUAACAGGCUUAUCACUCCCAAGAGUUCACAUCGACGGAGUGGUUUGGCACCUCGAUGUCGGCUCAUCGCAUCCUGGGGCUGUAGUAGGUCCCAAGGGUUGGGCUGUUCGCCCAUUAAAGCGGUACGCGAGCUGGGUUCAGAACGUCGUGAGACAGUUCGGUCCCUAUCCGGCGUGGGCGUAGGAUAUCUGAGAGGAGCUGUCCUCAGUACGAGAGGACCGGGAUGGACGGGCCGCUGGUGCACCGGUUAGACUGCCAAGUCUAUAGCCGGGUAGCCAAGCCCGGAAGGGAUAAACGCUGAAGGCAUCUAAGCGUGAAGCCACCCUCAAGAUGAGAUAUCCCAUCCGAAAGGAGUAAACCCCCUUGAAGACGACGAGGUUGAUAGGGCAGAGGUGGAAGUACGGUAACGUAUGGAGCUGACUGCUACUAAUAGGGUGAGGGCUUGACCAG
Molecule: ribosomal RNA, 1360 nt
Filed under: metagenome
Description: bacterial LSU rRNA
Rfam family: Bacterial large subunit ribosomal RNA
Source: RNAcentral